RNAcentral lists this ribosomal RNA (430 nucleotides) under uncultured bacterium. Its description in RNAcentral is "partial 16S ribosomal RNA". It matches the Rfam family "Bacterial small subunit ribosomal RNA", at positions 29 to 507 of the family's 1533-position model. The record is from RNAcentral.
ACGAACGCUGGCGGCAGGCUUAACACAUGCAAGUCGAGCGCCCCGCAAGGGGAGCGGCAGACGGGUGAGUAACGCGUGGGAACGCACCUUUUGGUUCGGAACAACUCCGGGAAACUGGAGCUAAUACCGGAUAAGCCCUAACGGGGAAAGAUUUAUCGCCGAAAGAUCGGCCCGCGUCUGAUUAGCUAGUUGGUGAGGUAACGGCUCACCAAGGCGACGAUCAGUGGCUGGUCUGAGAGGAUGAUCAGCCACACUGGGACUGAGACACGGCCCAGACUCCUACGGGAGGCAGCAGUGGGGAAUAUUGGACAAUGGGCGCAAGCCUGAUCCAGCCAUGCCGCGUGAGUGAUGAAGGCCUUAGGGUUGUAAAGCUCUUUUGUCCGGGAAGAUAAUGACUGUACCGGAAGAAUAAGCCCCGGCUAACUUCGUG